GUUACUGCUAUCGAGGUUCGACUAAGCCAUGCGAGUCGAAUGUAGCAAUACAUGGCGUACUGCUCAGUAACACGUGGAUAACCUGCCCUUAGGACGGGGAUAAACCCGGGAAACUGGGUAUAAUACCCGAUAGAUCUCGAUUGCUGGAAUGCAUUGAGAUCUAAAGCUCCGGCGCCUAAGGAUGGAUCUGCGGCCUAUCAGGUAGUAGUGGGUGUAGCGUACCUACUAGCCUACRACGGGUACGGGUUGUGAGAGCAAGAGCCCGGAGAUGGAUUCUGAGACACGAAUCCAGGCCCUACGGGGUGCAGCAGGCACGAAAACUUUACAAUGCUGGAAACAGCGAUAAGGGGACCUCGAGUGCCAGGUUACAAAUCUGGCUGUCGUGAUGCCUAAAAAGCAUUGCAUAGCAAGGGCCGGGCAAGACCGGUGCCAGCCGCCGCGGUAACACCGGCGGCUCGAGUGGUAACCGUUAUUAUUGGGUCUAAAGGGUCUGUASCCGGCCGGAUAAGUCUCUUGGGAAAUCUGGCAGCUUAACUGUCAGGCUUUCAGGAGAUACUGUCUGGCUCGAGGCCGGGAGAGGUGAGAGGUACUUCAGGGGUAGGGGUGAAAUCUUGUAAUCCUUGAAGGACCACCAGUGGCGACGGCGUCUCACCAGAACGGACCUGACGGCAAGGGACGAAAGCUAGGGGCACGAACCGGAUUAGAUACCCGGGUAGUCCUAGCCGUAAACGAUACUCGCUAGGUGUCGGCCACGGUGCGACCGUUGUCGGUGCCGUAGGGAAGCCGUGAAGCGAGCCACCUGGGAAGUACGGCCGCAAGGCUGAAACUUAAAGGAAUUGGCGGGGGAGCACCACAACGGGUGGAGCUUGCGGUUUAAUUGGAUUCAACGCCGGAAAUCUUACCGGGACCGACAGCAAUAUGAAGGCCAGGCUGAAGACUUUGCCGGAUUAGCUGAGAGGUGGUGCAUGGCCGUCGUCAGUUCGUACUGUGAAGCAUCCUGUUAAGUCAGG
This 1010-nucleotide ribosomal RNA is filed under the name uncultured euryarchaeote. Its description in RNAcentral is "bacterial SSU rRNA". It matches the Rfam family "Archaeal small subunit ribosomal RNA", at positions 23 to 1038 of the family's 1478-position model. Lineage: Archaea; Methanobacteriati; Methanobacteriota. The record is from RNAcentral.